Molecule: unclassified non-coding RNA, 180 nt
Organism: Chelonoidis abingdonii (Abingdon island giant tortoise)
Lineage: Eukaryota; Metazoa; Chordata; Testudines; Testudinidae
Source: Ensembl
CUUAACAGCCUGAAGAUAAAGUUCCCCAGUUUAUCCACACAAAAGCGAGAGAGCAUGGAAAGUGGCAGUGCAUGCUUCUCCAUGCAACCCUGCCAAUAUGCCUCUGAUCUGCUCUGGAGGGAUCGCCGACCGGGGGCAAAUCUCAGGCUAUGUCUACACUGAGAUAGUGGUGUGAUUCCU